AUGUUGGCUGUAACAGUUGAAUGUGCAGAUACAGUAAACCAACUACAGCCUCCAGUCAAAUAUAGUGGAUUUAAAAGUACAACAAUUCCCUCUGAAGUACGGUGGAGGAAAAACAGAAAGGAACCUGAACACUGUACUUACCGUGUCUUCAUUCAGCUGGAGACGACACACACACACAUGCGGGCCGGUGGUGGCGGGUCCUUGACGAGAGGAAACCAUGAACUCUGGGAGGAGCAGGUUCCCACACCCAGAAGAAGGGACGCACAACGCUCUAACACAAACAGUCCGCCACUCAGGAAGGAAAGGGCUCUCUUUGGGCCUUUAUCAGAUCUGCGAGAUCCUCGGCCCCGUCCGUCACCCGCUGCUGUCCGAGAGGUCCCAGCGAGGCUGCCGGACUCCCUGGCACCAGCGUCUGGCGCUGGGGAAGAUCUAUCUAGAGAUAUGAGCAGGAGAAACUCCACCCAAGAGGCCUGGUAUACACACAGACAAACCUAUUACAUCCUCUGAGCUAAUCAUUCCCCGAGACCACGACAACACAAACAUCCCCAGGACAGAAACACCAGUCUUCCUCUGACUCGCUGCUGUUUUUAGAGCUCUAAAUCUCUG
This 606-nucleotide long non-coding RNA is filed under the name Dicentrarchus labrax (European seabass). RNAcentral's name for it is "lncRNA (ENSDLAG00005022179.2)". Lineage: Eukaryota; Metazoa; Chordata; Actinopteri; Moronidae. The record is from RNAcentral.